Solanum lycopersicum (tomato) is the source of this 634-nucleotide long non-coding RNA. RefSeq lists it as uncharacterized. The record is from RefSeq and is a predicted model, not a curated record. NCBI's taxonomy places the organism in Eukaryota, Viridiplantae, Streptophyta, Magnoliopsida, Solanales, Solanaceae.
CCCAUAUACACCAUCAUACAACAAAUUCUACCUUUUGAAUCUCUUCAUACAAUCAAUUUUGAAUUCUCGCUCCCAUUUUCGUCUUCACCAACUGUAAGGUAGAUUUGACUGCAAUUUUCUUCACUAUGUCUAGGCCUAGGAGGGGAUAUAAUCAGAAUGGGAAGAAUAAUAAGAGAGUCAAAAAUAAGACAGCACAAGUGAUACCAGAACCAAAAAAUGAUUGGCUAUGCAGACAGUGUAACAAUAUGAUAAGUGCAAAGAUAACAACAGCACAUGCACACAGAGAUGCAUGCAACAAAAUCAAGGAGGCUCAAGUUAGGGUGGCUGCAAAUGCAAGACAAGGAAUUUACUGAUCUAUGCUACAAGAUUUACUGUUUGAGAGAUAUCUGAUGUGUCAUAUUCUGAAAUAGACUCUUUUGUAUGUGAUUCUUGGCUUUGAGACUCAGGGUUCCCUGUAUCUGUUUGAUCCAAGACAUAGUUCUUUGAAUGUUUGACUGAGAUAUUUUGAUAAAAGGAGUAGACAGAUUGUCUAGACUGUACCUUUAAUGUGACAUUUUGAUAAAAGGAGUUGACAGAUUGUUUAGACUGAUACCUUUAAUGUGACAUUUUGAUAAAGGAGUUGACAGAUUGUUUA